This 481-nucleotide small RNA is filed under the name Pongo abelii (Sumatran orangutan). Its description in RNAcentral is "processed transcript". The record is from RNAcentral. Lineage: Eukaryota; Metazoa; Chordata; Mammalia; Primates; Hominidae.
AACUAUACAAUUAUGGUGUGUGUUUCUGCGACGAGCGUCCGUCUAUCCGGUGGAACGCACGCCGCUCUAGGCUUGCGAUGCUCCCGGGGUCCCCGCUUCUAGCUUGGGCCUGGCGCACAGCAGCGCCCAGACUGCAAGGGGACGCUUGAAACUUGCUGGAGGAGCCGGGGGGAAGGCAGCGCCCAGCGAGGCGGCCGGAGCGCGCGCCCACAGGUAGAACUGCAUGUCCACCUAGACGGAGCCAUCAAGCCUGAAACCAUCUUAUACUAUGGCAGGAGGAGAGGGAUCGCCCUCCCAGCUAACACAGCAGAGGGGCUGCUGAACGUCAUUGGCAUGGACAAACCACUCACCCUUCCAGGCUUCCUGGCCAAGUUUGACUACUACAUGCCUGCUAUCGCGGGCUGCCGGGAGGCUAUCAAAAGGAUUGCCUAUGAGUUUGUAGAGAUGAAGGCCAAAGAGGGCGUGGUGUACGUGGAGGUGC